AAGGAGUCUAACAUAUCUGCGAGUAUUCGGGUGUCAAACCCGAGUGCGCAAUGAAAGUGAACGUAGGAGCCACGCGCAAGCUGCAGCUUCGACCGAUCUGGAUCUUUAGUGGAAGAUUUGAGUAAGAGCAUAUAUGUUAGGACCCGAAAGAUGGUGAACUAUGCCUGAAUAGGGUGAAGCCAGAGGAAACUCUGGUGGAGGCUCGUAGCGAUUCUGACGUGCAAAUCGAUCGUCAAAUUUGGGUAUAGGGGCGAAAGACUAAUCGAACCAUCUAGUAGCUGGUUCCUGC
Molecule: unclassified non-coding RNA, 289 nt
Filed under: uncultured fungus
Lineage: Eukaryota; Fungi
Description: partial contains 5.8S rRNA, ITS2 and 28S rRNA
Rfam family: Eukaryotic large subunit ribosomal RNA
Source: RNAcentral